Molecule: ribosomal RNA, 451 nt
Filed under: uncultured bacterium
Lineage: Bacteria
Description: partial 16S ribosomal RNA
Rfam family: Bacterial small subunit ribosomal RNA
Source: RNAcentral
AAUGAACGCUGGCGGCAGGCCUAAAACAUGCAAGUCGAACGCCUGUAGCAAUACAGGAGUGGCGCUCGGGUGCGUAACACGUGGGAAUAUGCCUAUUGGUACGGAACAGCUCCGGGAAACCGGAAUUAAUACCGUAUGGUCCCUUCGGGGUAAAGAUUUAUCGCCAAUAGAUUAGCCCGCGGUGGAUUAGCUAGUUGGUAGGGUAAUGGCCUACCAAGGCGACGAUCCAUAGCUGGUCUGAGAGGACGAUCAGCCACACUGGGACUGAGACACGGCCCAGACUCCUACGGGAGGCAGCAGUUAGGAAUAUUGGACAAUGGGCGCAAGCCUGAUCCAGCCAUGCCGCGUGAGUGAUGAAGGCCUUCGGGUUGUAAAACUCUUUAGCCGAUGAAUAUAAUGACUGUAGUCGGAAAAUAAGCCCCGGCUAACUUCGUGCCAGCAGCCGCCGCCG